GGGUGAUUAGUUUAGUGGCUAAAACAACUUGCUUACACCAAGUAGAAGUCGGGUCGGAACCGGCAUCACCCA
Molecule: transfer RNA, 72 nt
Filed under: Planoprotostelium fungivorum
Lineage: Eukaryota; Evosea; Variosea; Cavosteliida; Cavosteliaceae
Description: tRNA-Val
Rfam family: tRNA
About the family: Transfer RNA (tRNA) molecules are approximately 80 nucleotides in length. Their secondary structure includes four short double-helical elements and three loops (D, anti-codon, and T loops). Further hydrogen bonds mediate the characteristic L-shaped molecular structure. tRNAs have two regions of fundamental functional importance: the anti-codon, which is responsible for specific mRNA codon recognition, and the 3' end, to which the tRNAs corresponding amino acid is attached (by aminoacyl-tRNA synthetases). tRNAs cope with the degeneracy of the genetic code in two manners: having more than one tRNA (with a specific anti-codon) for a particular amino acid; and 'wobble' base-pairing, i.e. permitting non-standard base-pairing at the 3rd anti-codon position.
Source: RNAcentral